This is a non-coding RNA of Paracoccidioides lutzii Pb01, 133 nucleotides long. The record is from the annotation of a RefSeq genome assembly.
GGGGCAGUGGCGUAGUUGGCAGUGCGUUGUUUUGACUGAAGUUUCAACUUCAUUUACAAUAUGUAUAGCAAUAAUCACUUAAGAAAUACCGAGUUUAAUCGGGAGGUCACCGGCUCGAUCCUGGUCUACCCCC